GACGAACGCUGGCGGCGUGCUUAACACAUGCAAGUCGAACGGAAAGGCCUCUUUCGGGGGGUACUCGAGUGGCGAACGGGUGAGUAACACGUGAGUAACCUGCCCUUGACUUUGGGAUAACUUCAGGAAACUGGGGCUAAUACCGGAUAGGAGCUCCUGCUGCAUGGUGGGGGUUGGAAAGUUUCGGCGGUUGGGGAUGGACUCGCGGCUUAUCAGCUUGUUGGUGGGGUAGUGGCUUACCAAGGCUUUGACGGGUAGCCGGCCUGAGAGGGUGACCGGCCACAUUGGGACUGAGAUACGGCCCAGACGCCUACGGGAGGCAGCAGUGGGGAAUAUUGCACAAGGGGUGGAAGCCUGAUGCAGCAACGCCGUGUGCGGGAGGACGGCCUUCGGGUUGUAAACCGCUUUCGCUCAUGACGAAGCUUUGUGUGACGGUAGUGGGUAAAGAAGCACCGGCUAACUACGUG
This 467-nucleotide ribosomal RNA is filed under the name uncultured bacterium. Its description in RNAcentral is "partial 16S ribosomal RNA". It matches the Rfam family "Bacterial small subunit ribosomal RNA", at positions 28 to 507 of the family's 1533-position model. The record is from RNAcentral.